Molecule: ribosomal RNA, 467 nt
Filed under: uncultured bacterium
Lineage: Bacteria
Description: partial 16S ribosomal RNA
Rfam family: Bacterial small subunit ribosomal RNA
Source: RNAcentral
GACGAACGCUGGCGGCGUGCUUAACACAUGCAAGUCGAACGGAAAGGCCCUGCUUUUGUGGGGUGCUCGAGUGGCGAACGGGUGAGUAACACGUGAGUAACCUGCCCUUGACUGUGGGAUAACUUCAGGAAACUGGGGCUAAUACCGGAUAGGAGCGCCUGCUGCAUGGAGGGGGGGGGAAAGUUUCGGCGGAUGGGGGUGGACUCGCGGCUUAUCAGCUUGUUGGUGGGGUAGUGGCUUACAAAGGCUUUGACGGGUAGCCGGCCUGAGAGGGUGACCGGCCACAGUGGGACAGGGAUACGGCCCAGACGCCUACGGGAGGCAGGAGUGGGGAAUAUUGCACAAUGGGCCGAGGCCUGAUGCAGCAACGCCGGGUGCGGGAGGACGGCCUUCGGGUUGUAAACCGCUUUCGCCUGUGACGAAGCGUGAGUGACGGUAAUGGGGAAAGAAGCACCGGCUAACUACGU